GAGGAGCUUGCUUUUCUGAUCUAGUGGCGGACGGGUGAGUAACACGUGAGCAAUCUGCCUUUCAGAGGGGGAUACCGAUUGGAAACGAUCGUUAAUACCGCAUAACAUAAUUGAACCGCAUGAUUUGAUUAUCAAAGAUUUAUCGCUGAAAGAUGAGCUCGCGUCUGAUUAGCUAGUUGGUAAGGUAACGGCUUACCAAGGCGACGAUCAGUAGCCGGACUGAGAGGUUGAUCGGCCACAUUGGGACUGAGACACGGCCCAGACUCCUACGGGAGGCAGCAGUGGGGAAUAUUGCACAAUGGAGGAAACUCUGAUGCAGCGAUGCCGCGUGAGGGAAGAAGGUUUUAGGAUUGUAAACCUCUGUCUUCAGGGACGAAAAAAGACGGUACCUGAGGAGGAAGCUCCGGCUAACCACGUGCCAGCAGCCGCGGUAAUACGUAGGGAGCGAGCGUUGUCCGGAAUUACUGGGUGUAAAGGGAGCGUAGGCGGGAUCGCAAGUCAGAUGUGAAAACUAUGGGCUUAACCCAUAAACUGCAUUUGAAACUGUGGUUCUUGAGUGAAGUAGAGGUAAGCGGAAUUCCUAGUGUAGCGGUGAAAUGCGUAGAUAUUAGGAGGAACAUCAGUGGCGAAGGCGGCUUACUGGGCUUUAACUGACGCUGAGGCUCGAAAGCGUGGGGAGCAAACAGGAUUAGAUACCCUGGUAGUCCACGCCGUAAACGAUGAUUACUAGGUGUGGGGGGACUGACCCCUUCCGUGCCGCAGCAAACGCAAUAAGUAAUCCACCUGGGGAGUACGACCGCAAGGUUGAAACUCAAAGGAAUUGGCGGGGGCCCGCACAAGCAGUGGAGUAUGUGGAUUAAUUCGAAGCAACGCGAAAAACCUUACCAGGUCUUGACAUCGUAUGCAUAGCUCAGAGAUGAGUGAAAUCUCUUCGGAGACAUAUAGACAGGUGGUGCAUGGUUGUCGUCAGCUCGUGUCGUGAGAUGUUGGGUUAAGUCCCGCAACGAGCGCAACCCUUACUGUUAGUUGCUACGCAAGAGCACUCUAGCAGGACUGCCGUUGACAAAACGGAGGAAGGUGGGGAUGACGUCAAAUCAUCAUGCCCCUUAUGACCUGGGCCUCACACGUACUACAAUGGCUGUCAACAGAGGGAAGCAAAGCCGCGAGGUGGAGCGAACCCCUAAAAGCAGUCUUAGUUCGGAUUGUAGGCUGCAACCCGCCUGCAUGAAGUCGGAAUUGCUAGUAAUCGCAGAUCAGCAUGCUGCGGUGAAUACGUUCCCGGGCCUUGUACACACCGCCCGUCACGCCAUGGGAGUCGGUAACACCCGAAGCCUGUAGUCUAACCGCAAGGAGGACGC
This 1358-nucleotide ribosomal RNA is filed under the name metagenome. RNAcentral's name for it is "bacterial SSU rRNA". It matches the Rfam family "Bacterial small subunit ribosomal RNA". The record is from RNAcentral.